UGCGCAGGCGGUUUUGUAAGACAGUGGUGAAAUCCCCGGGCUCAACCUGGGAACUGCCAUUGUGACUGCAAGGCUGGAGUGCGGCAGAGGGGGAUGGAAUUCCGCGUGUAGCAGUGAAAUGCGUAGAUAUGCGGAGGAACACCGAUGGCGAAGGCAAUCCCCUGGGCCUGCACUGACGCUCAUGCACGAAAGGCUGGGAGCAAACA
RNAcentral lists this ribosomal RNA (206 nucleotides) under uncultured bacterium. RNAcentral's name for it is "partial 16S ribosomal RNA". It matches the Rfam family "Bacterial small subunit ribosomal RNA", at positions 568 to 774 of the family's 1533-position model. The record is from RNAcentral.